GGUGAGUCAUCAGGCAGGAGAGAGGAGGCUGGGAACAACGUGACCCACUAAGGAUUCUGCUCCAAGGACAGUGGGUUUCCCGCUGGGCACCCACUCUUAAGUGCAGAUCGGGAGACUAAGACAGGAACACCCGCCGUGGGCAGGCCAGGCUGGAAGGAUAGAGGACUGUGGUCGAACCAAGAGGAGGUUCAACUGUGACUUAUGCCAGUGUGGUCACGAAGGCAGAUGGGUUGAACUGAAAAGGGGGCACCGGUUCCUGGCAUGGAGGCACCCAAGGUCUUAGGAGGUGGAUGGACUGUCACAUGGGCAAAGAAAUGUCCCAGGGCAGGACUGCAAAGGCCACAGAAGAAUAAUUUGGGAGAGAGACAACCCAUGAGAAGUCACUCAGACCAGGGUCAGAAACAGAACAGGAACAACAAUGGAAAGAGGAUGACACCAUUGAUGGGCACCUAGGUCAAUUCAAUGUCUUUGCUAUAGUGAAUAGUGCUGCAAUGAACAUGCAACUCCAUGUGCCUUUCUUUCUCUGCAGCCUUGCAAGAAAGUUAUGAAGAUCCUCGUCACUGAGGCGGACAACGCACACAAUACCCAGAGUCUUCCGG
This 599-nucleotide long non-coding RNA is filed under the name Homo sapiens (human). RNAcentral describes it as "LHRI_LNC284.1". The record is from RNAcentral. Lineage: Eukaryota; Metazoa; Chordata; Mammalia; Primates; Hominidae.